This 73-nucleotide transfer RNA is filed under the name Candidatus Coatesiibacteriota bacterium. RNAcentral describes it as "Candidatus Coatesbacteria bacterium tRNA-Gln". It matches the Rfam family "tRNA". From Rfam's summary of the family: Transfer RNA (tRNA) molecules are approximately 80 nucleotides in length. The record is from RNAcentral. RNAcentral also lists the same sequence under 1 other name. Lineage: Bacteria; Candidatus Coatesiibacteriota.
AACCCCGUGGUGUAGCGGUCAAGCAUACCGGCUUCUGGAGCCGGAGGCGGAGGUUCGAAUCCUCCCGGGGUUA